UAUGUCCAUAUCAUGUUGAAACACUUGUUCCCAUACAAUCACUGAGGUUAAGCUACAUUGAGCCUGGUUACUACCUAGAUUGAUGACCACUUGGGGAUACCAGGUGUUGUAAG
This is a non-coding RNA of Acanthosepion pharaonis, 113 nucleotides long. Lineage: Eukaryota; Metazoa; Mollusca; Cephalopoda; Sepiida; Sepiidae. The record is from the annotation of a GenBank genome assembly.